UAGGGAAUCUUCCGCAAUGGACGCAAGUCUGACGGAGCAACGCCGCGUGAGUGAAGAAGGAUUUCGGUUCGUAAAACUCUGUUGUUAGAGAAGAACAGCGCAUAGAGUAACUGUUAUGCGUGUGACGGUAUCUAACCAGAAAGCCACGGCUAACUACGUGCCAGCAGCCGCGGUAAUACGUAGGUGGCAAGCGUUGUCCGGAUUUAUUGGGCGUAAAGCGAGCGCAGGCGGUCAAUUAAGUCUGAUGUGAAAGCCCCCGGCUCAACCGGGGAGGGUCAUUGGAAACUGUUUGACUUGAGUGCAGAAGAGGAGAGUGGAAUUCCAUGUGUAGCGGUGAAAUGCGUAGAUAUAUGGGGGAACACCAGUGGCGAAGGCGACUCUCUGGUCUGUAACUGACGCUGAGGUUCGAAAGCGUGGGUAGCAAACAGG
Molecule: ribosomal RNA, 429 nt
Filed under: Bacteroidota bacterium
Lineage: Bacteria; Pseudomonadati; Bacteroidota
Description: Bacteroidetes bacterium partial 16S ribosomal RNA
Rfam family: Bacterial small subunit ribosomal RNA
Source: RNAcentral